This 515-nucleotide ribosomal RNA is filed under the name uncultured bacterium. RNAcentral describes it as "partial 16S ribosomal RNA". It matches the Rfam family "Bacterial small subunit ribosomal RNA", at positions 28 to 523 of the family's 1533-position model. The record is from RNAcentral.
GAUGAACGCUGGCGGCGUGCCUAAUACAUGCAAGUCGAGCGAAUGGAUUAAGAGCUUGCUCUUAUGAAAUUAGCGGCGGACGGGUGAGUAACACGUGGGUAACCUGCCCAUAAGACUGGGAUAACUCCGGGAAACCGGGGCUAAUACCGGAUAACAUUUUGAACCGCAUGGUUCGAAAUUGAAAGGCGGCUUCGGCUGUCACUUAUGGAUGGACCCGCGUCGCAUUAGCUAGUUGGUGAGGUAACGGCUCACCAAGGCAACGAUGCGUAGCCGGCCUGAGAGGGUGAUCGGCCACACUGGGACUGGGACGCGGCCCAGACUCCUACGGGAGGCAGCAGUCGGGAAUCUUCCGCAAUGGACGAAAGUCUGACGGAGCAACGCCGCGUGAGUGAUGAAGGCUUUCGGGUCGUAAAACUCUGUUGUUAGGGAAGAACAAGUGCUAGUUGAAUAAGCUGGCACCUUGACGGUACCUAACCAGAAAGCCACGGCUAACUACGUGCCAGCCGCCGCCGUAA